RNAcentral lists this ribosomal RNA (846 nucleotides) under Chapsa dilatata. RNAcentral describes it as "SSU rRNA". It matches the Rfam family "Bacterial small subunit ribosomal RNA", at positions 346 to 1227 of the family's 1533-position model. The record is from RNAcentral. Lineage: Eukaryota; Fungi; Ascomycota; Lecanoromycetes; Ostropales; Graphidaceae.
AGGCAGUGAAGGAAUAUUGGUCAAUGGCCUAACAGGCCGAACCAGCAACUUGGAGGAAUGUAUAGGGAAAGCUGGUAAAAUGUAAUGUACCUAGUAGUAUUAGUAAUUAAUACGAGAUUAACUAAGUUAAUUAAAAUUCAAGGUGGAUAUUGAUUAUGACAAUAUUUGCUUAUGUCUUGACCAAGUCACGUGCCAGCAGUCGCGGUAAUACGUGGAAGAUUAGUGUUAUUCAUCUUUAUCUGGUUUAAAGGGUACCUAGACGGUUAAUCAAACACAAAUAUGUAUUAAUUAACUAGAGUUUAAUACAAGAAAGAUUGAGAACAGUGAGUGUAGAGAUAAAAUUCUGUCAUACCAUUUAGGAACUGGUAAAGGCGAAGGCUACUUUUUAUGUAAAAACUGACGUUGAGGGACGAAGGCUUGUAUCCAAGUAACAGGAUUAGAUACCCCAGUAUUUUGAGCAGACAAUGAUGAGUGUCAUAUGCAAGAAAGUUUUUUGUGUAUAAAUGAAAGUGUAAGCACUCCACCUCAAGAGUAACGUGGCAACACGGGAACUGAAAUCAUUAGGCCGUUUCUGAAACUCGUAGUGAAGUAUGUUGUUUAAUUUGAUGGUCCGCAAAAAACCUUACCACACCUUGAAUUACUGCAAAAAAGCAUUUAUCUGCUAUAGUAGCAACAAGCGUUGCACGGCUGUCUUCAGUCAAUGUUGUGAAACUAUGGUUAGAUCCAUUUAAUUGACGUAAACCCUUACUUUAUUUAUUAUAAAGUAGUUCGCCGCUAUAUUGGUAGUGAUAUAAGGGACAAAGACAAGUCAUCAUGGCCUGAACAGUGUGGGCUAUAGACGUGCCA